CCUACGGUGGCUGCAGUGGGGAAUAUUGGACAAUGGGGGCAACCCUGAUCCAGCCAUGCCGCGUGUGUGAAGAAGGCCCUCGGGUUGUAAAGCACUUUCAGUGAGGAAGAACGCCUGGUGGUUAAUACCCAUCAGGAAAGACAUCACUCACAGAAGAAGCACCGGCUAACUCCGUGCCAGCAGCCGCGGUAAUACGGAGGGUGCGAGCGUUAAUCGGAAUUACUGGGCGUAAAGCGCGCGUAGGUGGCUUGAUAAGCCGGUUGUGAAAGCCCCGGGCUCAACCUGGGAACGGCAUCCGGAACUGUCAAGCUAGAGUGCAGGAGAGGAAGGUAGAAUUCCCGGUGUAGCGGUGAAAUGCGUAGAGAUCGGGAGGAAUACCAGUGGCGAAGGCGGCCUUCUGGACUGACACUGACACUGAGGUGCGAAAGCGUGGGUAGCAAACAGGAUUAGAUACCCGGGUAGUC
RNAcentral lists this ribosomal RNA (464 nucleotides) under Vreelandella stevensii. RNAcentral describes it as "partial 16S ribosomal RNA". It matches the Rfam family "Bacterial small subunit ribosomal RNA", at positions 338 to 795 of the family's 1533-position model. The record is from RNAcentral. Lineage: Bacteria; Pseudomonadati; Pseudomonadota; Gammaproteobacteria; Oceanospirillales; Halomonadaceae.